RNAcentral lists this ribosomal RNA (2904 nucleotides) under Escherichia coli S17. RNAcentral describes it as "bacterial LSU rRNA". It matches the Rfam family "Bacterial large subunit ribosomal RNA". The record is from RNAcentral. Lineage: Bacteria; Pseudomonadati; Pseudomonadota; Gammaproteobacteria; Enterobacterales; Enterobacteriaceae.
GGUUAAGCGACUAAGCGUACACGGUGGAUGCCCUGGCAGUCAGAGGCGAUGAAGGACGUGCUAAUCUGCGAUAAGCGUCGGUAAGGUGAUAUGAACCGUUAUAACCGGCGAUUUCCGAAUGGGGAAACCCAGUGUGUUUCGACACACUAUCAUUAACUGAAUCCAUAGGUUAAUGAGGCGAACCGGGGGAACUGAAACAUCUAAGUACCCCGAGGAAAAGAAAUCAACCGAGAUUCCCCCAGUAGCGGCGAGCGAACGGGGAGCAGCCCAGAGCCUGAAUCAGUGUGUGUGUUAGUGGAAGCGUCUGGAAAGGCGCGCGAUACAGGGUGACAGCCCCGUACACAAAAAUGCACAUGCUGUGAGCUCGAUGAGUAGGGCGGGACACGUGGUAUCCUGUCUGAAUAUGGGGGGACCAUCCUCCAAGGCUAAAUACUCCUGACUGACCGAUAGUGAACCAGUACCGUGAGGGAAAGGCGAAAAGAACCCCGGCGAGGGGAGUGAAAAAGAACCUGAAACCGUGUACGUACAAGCAGUGGGAGCACGCUUAGGCGUGUGACUGCGUACCUUUUGUAUAAUGGGUCAGCGACUUAUAUUCUGUAGCAAGGUUAACCGAAUAGGGGAGCCGAAGGGAAACCGAGUCUUAACUGGGCGUUAAGUUGCAGGGUAUAGACCCGAAACCCGGUGAUCUAGCCAUGGGCAGGUUGAAGGUUGGGUAACACUAACUGGAGGACCGAACCGACUAAUGUUGAAAAAUUAGCGGAUGACUUGUGGCUGGGGGUGAAAGGCCAAUCAAACCGGGAGAUAGCUGGUUCUCCCCGAAAGCUAUUUAGGUAGCGCCUCGUGAAUUCAUCUCCGGGGGUAGAGCACUGUUUCGGCAAGGGGGUCAUCCCGACUUACCAACCCGAUGCAAACUGCGAAUACCGGAGAAUGUUAUCACGGGAGACACACGGCGGGUGCUAACGUCCGUCGUGAAGAGGGAAACAACCCAGACCGCCAGCUAAGGUCCCAAAGUCAUGGUUAAGUGGGAAACGAUGUGGGAAGGCCCAGACAGCCAGGAUGUUGGCUUAGAAGCAGCCAUCAUUUAAAGAAAGCGUAAUAGCUCACUGGUCGAGUCGGCCUGCGCGGAAGAUGUAACGGGGCUAAACCAUGCACCGAAGCUGCGGCAGCGACGCUUAUGCGUUGUUGGGUAGGGGAGCGUUCUGUAAGCCUGCGAAGGUGUGCUGUGAGGCAUGCUGGAGGUAUCAGAAGUGCGAAUGCUGACAUAAGUAACGAUAAAGCGGGUGAAAAGCCCGCUCGCCGGAAGACCAAGGGUUCCUGUCCAACGUUAAUCGGGGCAGGGUGAGUCGACCCCUAAGGCGAGGCCGAAAGGCGUAGUCGAUGGGAAACAGGUUAAUAUUCCUGUACUUGGUGUUACUGCGAAGGGGGGACGGAGAAGGCUAUGUUGGCCGGGCGACGGUUGUCCCGGUUUAAGCGUGUAGGCUGGUUUUCCAGGCAAAUCCGGAAAAUCAAGGCUGAGGCGUGAUGACGAGGCACUACGGUGCUGAAGCAACAAAUGCCCUGCUUCCAGGAAAAGCCUCUAAGCAUCAGGUAACAUCAAAUCGUACCCCAAACCGACACAGGUGGUCAGGUAGAGAAUACCAAGGCGCUUGAGAGAACUCGGGUGAAGGAACUAGGCAAAAUGGUGCCGUAACUUCGGGAGAAGGCACGCUGAUAUGUAGGUGAGGACUUGCUCGUGGAGCUGAAAUCAGUCGAAGAUACCAGCUGGCUGCAACUGUUUAUUAAAAACACAGCACUGUGCAAACACGAAAGUGGACGUAUACGGUGUGACGCCUGCCCGGUGCCGGAAGGUUAAUUGAUGGGGUUAGCGCAAGCGAAGCUCUUGAUCGAAGCCCCGGUAAACGGCGGCCGUAACUAUAACGGUCCUAAGGUAGCGAAAUUCCUUGUCGGGUAAGUUCCGACCUGCACGAAUGGCGUAAUGAUGGCCAGGCUGUCUCCACCCGAGACUCAGUGAAAUUGAACUCGCUGUGAAGAUGCAGUGUACCCGCGGCAAGACGGAAAGACCCCGUGAACCUUUACUAUAGCUUGACACUGAACAUUGAGCCUUGAUGUGUAGGAUAGGUGGGAGGCUUUGAAGUGUGGACGCCAGUCUGCAUGGAGCCGACCUUGAAAUACCACCCUUUAAUGUUUGAUGUUCUAACGUUGACCCGUAAUCCGGGUUGCGGACAGUGUCUGGUGGGUAGUUUGACUGGGGCGGUCUCCUCCUAAAGAGUAACGGAGGAGCACGAAGGUUGGCUAAUCCUGGUCGGACAUCAGGAGGUUAGUGCAAUGGCAUAAGCCAGCUUGACUGCGAGCGUGACGGCGCGAGCAGGUGCGAAAGCAGGUCAUAGUGAUCCGGUGGUUCUGAAUGGAAGGGCCAUCGCUCAACGGAUAAAAGGUACUCCGGGGAUAACAGGCUGAUACCGCCCAAGAGUUCAUAUCGACGGCGGUGUUUGGCACCUCGAUGUCGGCUCAUCACAUCCUGGGGCUGAAGUAGGUCCCAAGGGUAUGGCUGUUCGCCAUUUAAAGUGGUACGCGAGCUGGGUUUAGAACGUCGUGAGACAGUUCGGUCCCUAUCUGCCGUGGGCGCUGGAGAACUGAGGGGGGCUGCUCCUAGUACGAGAGGACCGGAGUGGACGCAUCACUGGUGUUCGGGUUGUCAUGCCAAUGGCACUGCCCGGUAGCUAAAUGCGGAAGAGAUAAGUGCUGAAAGCAUCUAAGCACGAAACUUGCCCCGAGAUGAGUUCUCCCUGACUCCUUGAGAGUCCUGAAGGAACGUUGAAGACGACGACGUUGAUAGGCCGGGUGUGUAAGCGCAGCGAUGCGUUGAGCUAACCGGUACUAAUGAACCGUGAGGCUUAACCUUAC